Molecule: RNA transcript, 4183 nt
Organism: Hipposideros armiger (great roundleaf bat)
Lineage: Eukaryota; Metazoa; Chordata; Mammalia; Chiroptera; Hipposideridae
Gene: ERICH1
Gene name: glutamate rich 1
Exons: 7
Source: RefSeq, a predicted model, not a curated record
GCGGGGGCCGGGCGCCGCGGGACCCGCAUGGCGGAGGCGCGGAGGCGGGUGUUUGUUGGAAAAGUGCUGGAGAGACUGUUUCCUCGUGUUCCCUGUGGCCAAGAAAAGAGGGCAACAUUGGCUCCGGCCCCCAAAAACCCCCCCGAGAAAGUGACACCCGGGAAAGCAAAGUGCAGCUGCGUCCCCCCGUUGACAGGGGGCGACACUGAGGUCCAGCCUGGAAGGCGGCUCUACACUGUGAGUUUGCCGCCGGAGGGGUACGUGCCUGUUCCCCCGGAGCCACCCAGGUGCACGAGUUCUGAGCACUCCUCCAGCGGCGAUGACACAGGAGAUCAGGACCCUCACGAUCAACCAAAGAGAAGAAGAAUUAGAAAACCUAAAUCAAGGAAAAAACUUAAAAAUCCCAGUAAUGUUCCUGUGGAACGAGAACUGGAGAAACAACAGAGUCUCUCACAAGAAAAACUGCAGCCACGGCACACAGACGGCCCCACAAUAAGCAAAAAUAAAAAGAGGAAACUGAAAAAGAAACAGCAAAUCAAAAGGAAGAAAGCAGCUGGCUUACUAACGAGAGCCUCUGGCGUCAGCUUCACGUACCAGCCCGAGGACAGCAGCAGCGAGCAGGGAGCCGUGAGGGCGAGUGACGGGGAGGACGCCACGGAGGGGGACGUCGCGGACACGGAGGGGGACGUCGCGGACGCCGAGGAGGGCGCCACGGAGGAAGGCGGCAAAGGCACCAAUGAAAAGGCAGAUGGUAUCCUAGAUUUUUUGAAGUCAACACAAGAAAUUUAUUUUUAUGAUGGUGCCGCCGCGGACCCGGACGCGGUCUCCAUGGAAAGCGCCGAGCAGCUGCUCCGGUGCGUGGAAGCGGGCAGCGUGUCCCCCUCCGACCUGUGCGCGCUGGGCCGCCUGCAGGCGCUGCUGCUGCUUCGCGACACGGAAGGCCUGCGGGGCGCCCUGGACGCGUUCCCGCAGCGCUGCGCCCUGCCGCCCGACCAUGCCAGAGUGAUCUCAGCUUUCUUUAAUUACUGGAUCGCACAUAUCCUUCCAGAGAAAAAUAGUGAAUAAACUCAGUGCAUCUGCUUAAGAAGAGCUAAUAUUUAGCAAGAAGACAAAUAUGAAAUGAACAGAGACUUAAUUCCUGUCUACAAAGAAGAUGAAAUUCCCUAUAAUUUUGUGACCCAAAACCCUGGGAACUGUGAAGACAUUUCUGUCACAUUAUUUAUUCAUGUAUUUGUACAUACUGGGAAGAUGUCAUCUGAAACUUUGCAUGAGAAAUUAUGAUAAAAUUGUGGAUUCUCACCACCGUGUCCUACCUCACAGCUGACCACGCGUCGCCCGUCCGUGCUGAGGGUCCCCCACGCACGCUCUCCCUCCUUCAGCCGUGGCUUGGAGCUUUGACUGGUGGCCUGGGGGCUGUGUCCUGACCUUUCAAGAGUGACUUCCAGGCCAGCCCUCACAAAGAAGCCUCCUGUUUUCCUACGGUCUGGCCCUCGUCCCAGGGCUGCAGCACUGUGAUGGGUGAUGGAGACCACCUCCAGCCUGCAGAUGGGGCCUCUGCUGGCGGCAGAGUGACGCAGUGAAGGCCCAGGAUGAGGCUGACACACCGGCCCAGCCCCAGCUGGACGUGGACCGAAGGAAGCUCUGUGCAGCAGCCACACCGUCACCCCCCAAAUGACUUCCCCUGGUGGCGGCGCCCGACACAACCCACCGCAGGACACCCUCGCAGACGCCGUCCCGUGAGACACGGGGGGCUGCCUCCCCGCAUGGACCACCAGGUCCCCCGGAGCCCCACCGGGCCCCACUCAGCACCCCGUCUCGCUGCUUUGCUUGUUGCCUGUCUGAUGUAGCAUGUUUCCCCACUGAUUGCUGUGCACACGUCCCCUCGCUCGACAGGGCAAGUCGCACAUGUAUGCUGCCUUCCGGGGAGGCCCCUUCUGGGAUGGUCCACACGUGUCGUUCCCUGACUUUCUGUAGGGUCCCCUCCUUUUCGUCUCGAUCUGCAGGGACUCCUUGCAUGUUCGAGAGCAGAGCCCCGUCUUCUCAGCUGUUUGUCUUUGUGAACUCGCCUGCCCAUGUUCUGCCUCGUGGGCUCGUGAGGCGGAUAAAGCGCUUUCCUGUCCCCAGAUCUUGUGUUUUAUUAGCGCUAUAACUUGACCUUCCCCAUUGGAGUGUUUAAUCCAGUUGAAGUCCACAUUUGAUAUGACAAAAUGAAGGCUCCAGCUUCAUUUUUUUUCUUCCAUACAGUGAGCUGGCCUCUCAGCCCCAGCCUUUAAAAACCUCUGUCCUUUCUCUCUCGAUUGUGCAGCGGCCGUCUUGAUUAAAUGCCGGGUCUCCCGUGUGCCCGUAGGUCCAUUUCUGAACCGUUUCCCUGUGUUGAUCCAUCCGUGUGCUCCUACGGCCCACAGAGCUUGUAUCACUGUCACUGCGAGGUGCACAGGCCUGUCCCCCGCCCCCGCAGUGCGCUGUAUUUUAAAAUUACUUUGCUAUUUAUAUAUUUUUUUCAUAUAAAUUUCAAGUGGUGUUUUUUAGUUUACCUAAAAUUUCAGCUGGGAUUUUUAUUUCUAUUUCAGAAGUUUUGACAUCUUUACAAAAUUAACGCAUCACAUUCAAAGCCAUACAUUUGCUCAUACCUUCUUUUUUGUCCUCCAAUGGGGUUUAAAAUGUGUCUUCAUAAAAGCCUUCGUCGUUAGGUCAAUUCCUUCAGCACCUCUGUGCGGAGUGGCUGUCACAGCUCCCAGCACUGGGGCUCGGGGAUGAAGGCGAUGAGCCGGCCCCGCCCCCUGGAGGUGACAUCCUGUGUGAACAGGAGCAAAGGACUGUUCUGUGGCCUUGUGAGGAUGGCAGCUUAGUGACAGCGAUAGAAUGCAAGGGGACACUCUAGUGCCUUAAUUUUUAUUCUCACUAUUAAUGCUUAUUUACUCACUUACUAUAGGCUAUCUUUUACUAUUUUACCAUAAUAUUUUACUAAAUGAGCAUUGAGUAAAUUUAUUUAUUCACUAUAAUACUUUCUGUUUGAACAGUGAUGGGGGAGAGGAACAAUACUAAUUUGUAUCAGCCGAUCUUAUACCUGGCAACCUUGCUUAGUUUCCUAUUACCUCUAAAAGCCCAUCAAUCGUACUGAGGAAUCUAUUUGAUGAUCUUAUCAACUGCAAAUCUCUUUUCAAUAUUGAUGCUUAUUGUUUUAUUUUCGUGUCUUAUACUUGUUCCUAGGACAUCGAGGGUUCAACAGUAGCAAUGAUACCAGGCAUCCUUGUCUUGUUCCUGAUCUUAGUAUAAAUUAUAUAAACUUUAUCCAAGUAUGAUGUGUAUUAUAGGUUUUUAUAUAUUACCUUUUUCAGGAUAGCAAAUUUCCACCUAUUGUUUUCUGAGACUUUUCAUUAAAUAAACAUUAAAUGUCAUGAAAUGAAUUUUCUGCAUCUCUUCAGAACACAAUUUGAUCAUUCUCUGUUAAUCCACUGUGCAGUGCGGUAGUUUAAGAAAACUGAACACAAAUUGUUUGACGAUCUUCCCACUGAGAGAUGGGUUCUCUGCCCCCUCCCCUGGAAUUUGAGAAGACAUGACUUCUUUGACUAAAGAACAUGAUGGAUGUUAUUGGAUGACUUCCAAGGCAGGUCAACAAGUCACCUGAUUUCCUGGUUCCUCUCUCUGUGGGAAGUCUGAGACCAGCACAGGCACCAGCCAUCAGCCAGCAUGAGCAAUGGGCCAUGAGCGUGAACCGCCCUAGAAGUCUGGCCUCGUCGGGCCUUUAGCUGAUACCAUGUGAGUGACCCAAGCAAAGUGCACAGUCUCGAGUCUGGGCAGUUUGUACGUCAGCAGUGACUGGACCCCGUGGCUGAUUUGCUGACAGACCCCUGAUGCUCACUCUCCUGCGUGACUGUGAAGAGCUGGCUUCCUCAUGUCAUCUUGUGUUGGAUGGCUGUGUCUGCUUGGACCUUCCCAGUCUCACCCACAGUUUGGCAUCUCCUCUCCUUCGGUUUCCUUUGUGGACGUGCCUCACUCAGACCUCCUUCCACAAGAGUGGCUGUGAGAGCACGGCUGCCCCGUGAUGACUGAGCAUUGCAGGAGAGCAUGGUAGGAGAGCACGGCGGGGGAGCACCGUAGAUGAGCGUGGUGGGAUACCUGUAACGCGCAGCAUGUACGCAGGUGUCCCCGUGCGCCCGGCCACAUCACUGACACACCUGCG